Molecule: ribosomal RNA, 464 nt
Filed under: uncultured bacterium
Lineage: Bacteria
Description: partial 16S ribosomal RNA
Rfam family: Bacterial small subunit ribosomal RNA
Source: RNAcentral
CUACGGGUGGCUCCAGUGGGGAAUAUUGCACAAUGGGCGCAAGCCUGAUGCAGCCAUGCCGCGUGUAUGAAGAAGGCCUUCGGGUUGUAAAGUACUUUCAGCGGGGAGGAAGGGAGUAAAGUUAAUACCUUUGCUCAUUGACGUUACCCGCAGAAGAAGCACCGGCUAACUCCGUGCCAGCAGCCGCGGUAAUACGGAGGGUGCAAGCGUUUAUCGGAAUUACUGGGCGUAAAGCGCACGCAGGCGGUUUGUUAAGUCAGAUGUGAAAUCCCCGGGCUCAACCUGGGAACUGCAUCUGAUACUGGCAAGCGUGAGUAUCGUAGAGGGGGGUAGAAUUCCAGGUGUAGCGGUGAAGUGCGUAGAGAUCUGGAGGAAUACCGGUGGCGAAGGCGGCCCCCUGGACGAAGACUGACGCUCAGGUGCGAAAGCGUGGGGAGCAAACAGGAUUAGAUACCCUAGUAGUC